UAAAUAGAUACCCCGGUAGUCCACGCCCUAAACGAUCGCGAACUGGAUGUUGGGUACAUUACGGUACUCGAGUGGUCGAAGCUAACGCGUUAAGUUCGCCGCCUGGGGAGUACGGUCGCAAGACUGAAACUCAAAGGAAUUGACGGGGGCCCGCACAAGCGGUGGAGUAUGUGGUUUAAUUCGAUGCAACGCGAAGAACCUUACCUGGCCUUGACAUCUGUCGAAUCCUGCAGAGAUGCGGGAGUGCCGCAAGGAACGACAAGACAGGUGCUGCAUGGCUGUCGUCAGCUCGUGUCGUGAGAUGUUGGGUUAAGUCCCGCAACGAGCGCAACCCUUGUCCUUAGUUGCCAGCACGUAAUGGUGGGAACUCUAAGGAGACUGCCGGUGACAAACCGGAGGAAGGUGGGGAUGACGUCAAGUCCUCACGGCCCUUACGGCCAGGGCUACACACGUACUACAAUGGUCGGUACAGAGGGUUGCGAAGCCGCGGAGGUGGAGCCAAUCCCAGAAAGCCGAUACCCAGUCCGGAUUGGAGU
RNAcentral lists this ribosomal RNA (536 nucleotides) under uncultured bacterium. Its description in RNAcentral is "bacterial SSU rRNA". It matches the Rfam family "Bacterial small subunit ribosomal RNA", at positions 775 to 1304 of the family's 1533-position model. The record is from RNAcentral.